RNAcentral lists this ribosomal RNA (497 nucleotides) under uncultured bacterium. RNAcentral's name for it is "partial 16S ribosomal RNA". It matches the Rfam family "Bacterial small subunit ribosomal RNA", at positions 28 to 507 of the family's 1533-position model. The record is from RNAcentral.
GAUGAACGCUGGCGGCGUGCCUAAUACAUGCAAGUCGAGCGAACGGACGAGAAGCUUGCUUCUCUGAUGUUAGCGGCGGACGGGUGAGUAACACGUGGAUAACCUACCUAUAAGACUGGGAUAACUUCGGGAAACCGUAGCUAAUACCGGAUAAUAUUUUGAACCGCAUGGUUCAAAAGUGAAAGACGGUCUUGCUGUCACUUAUAGAUGGAUCCGCGCUGCAUUAGCUAGUUGGUAAGGUAACGGCUUACCAAGGCGACGAUGCAUAGCCGACCUGAGAGCGCGGUGGGCGACACUGGAAGUGAAACGCGGUCUAGACUCCUAGGGGAGGCCGCAGCAGGGAAUGGAGGGAGAUGGGCGGAAGCCUGAAGGAGGGGCGCCGGGCGAGUGAUGAAGGGCUGCGGAGCGUAAAACUGUCUUAUGGGGGAAGAACAUAUGCGUAAGUAACUGUGCGUAAUUUGACGGUACCUAGAGAGAAAGCCCCGGCUAACUACGUG